UGGUGUUAGUUCAAAUUCAAAAUCUUUUCGCAAUCUUGGUAUGAAAAUUCAAAGCUUUUGAUCUUUCCUUGAAAUGCAAGUAAUGAAAAUUCAGUGCAGCAGAAAAACUCAGUUGACUGCUAAACAAAUAUAGUCGACUGGAAAUAAAGAGUGCAUGGAUAGAGAAAAUCAAACACUGGUUUUUAUACUGGUUCGGCCAACAAUGCCUACAUCCAGUGUCCUUCCACUCAGGAAGCAAAUGCACUAUAAUGAUUACGGUUUUUACAACAAGGAAUUUAUAAGAGCACCACGCAAAAAUAUAAAUCUCCUCUCUAACCCAAAACCAAA
RNAcentral lists this long non-coding RNA (327 nucleotides) under Vigna radiata. Its description in RNAcentral is "long non-coding RNA (VRAD_LNC011585)". Lineage: Eukaryota; Viridiplantae; Streptophyta; Magnoliopsida; Fabales; Fabaceae. The record is from RNAcentral.